AGUGAACGCUGGCGGUAGGCCUAACACAUGCAAGUCGAACGGCAGCACAGUAAGAGCUUGCUCUUACGGGUGGCGAGUGGCGGACGGGUGAGGAAUACAUCGGAAUCUACUUUUUCGUGGGGGAUAACGUAGGGAAACUUACGCUAAUACCGCAUACGACCUACGGGUGAAAGCAGGGGAUCUUCGGACCUUACGCGAUUGAAUGAGCCGAUGUCGUAUUAGCUAGUUGGCGGGGUAAAGGCCCACCAAGGCGACGAUCCGUAGCUGGUCUGAGAGGAUGAUCAGCCACACUGGAACUGAGACACGGUCCAGACUCCUACGGGAGGCAGCAGUGGGGAAUAUUGGACAAUGGGCGCAAGCCUGAUCCAGCCAUACCGCGUGGGUGAAGAAGGCCUUCGGGUUGUAAAGCCCUUUUGUUGGGAAAGAAAAGCAGCAGGUUAAUACCCCGCUGUUCUGACGGUACCCAAAGAAUAAGCACCGGCUAACUUCGUG
Molecule: ribosomal RNA, 492 nt
Filed under: uncultured bacterium
Lineage: Bacteria
Description: partial 16S ribosomal RNA
Rfam family: Bacterial small subunit ribosomal RNA
Source: RNAcentral